GAUGAACGCUGGCGGCGUGCCUAAUACAUGCAAGUCGAGCGAACAGACGAGGAGCUUGCUCCUCUGACGUUAGCGGCGGACGGGUGAGUAACACGUGGAUAACCUACCUAUAAGACUGGGAUAACUUCGGGAAACCGGAGCUAAUACCGGAUAAUAUAUUGAACCGCAUGGUUCAAUAGUGAAAGACGGUUUUGCUGUCACUUAUAGAUGGAUCCGCGCCGCAUUAGCUAGUUGGUAAGGUAACGGCUUACCAAGGCAACGAUGCGUAGCCGACCUGAGAGGGUGAUCGGCCACACUGGAGCGGAGACACGGUCCAUACUCCUACGGGAGGCAGCAGUAGGGAAUCUGCCGCAAUGGGCGAAAGCCUGACGGAGCAACGCCGCGUGAGUGAUGAAGGUCUUCGGAUCGUAAAACUCUGUUAUUAGGGAAGAACAAAUGUGUAAGUAACUAUGCACGUCUUGACGGUACCUAAUCAGAAAGCCACGGCUAACUACGUG
This 497-nucleotide ribosomal RNA is filed under the name uncultured bacterium. Its description in RNAcentral is "partial 16S ribosomal RNA". It matches the Rfam family "Bacterial small subunit ribosomal RNA", at positions 28 to 507 of the family's 1533-position model. The record is from RNAcentral.